This 475-nucleotide ribosomal RNA is filed under the name uncultured bacterium. RNAcentral's name for it is "SSU rRNA". It matches the Rfam family "Bacterial small subunit ribosomal RNA", at positions 26 to 523 of the family's 1533-position model. The record is from RNAcentral.
AGGAUGAACGCUGGCGGCGUGCCUAACACAUGCAAGUCGAACGUCCUGUCUCGCAAGAGGCAGGGAGUGGCGGACGGGUGAGUACCACGUGGGUCAUCUACCGUGAGGUGAGGAAUACCGGCGAGAAAUCGCCGACAAGACCGCAUAGCCUCGGUGCAAGCCGAGGAAAGCUUUCUCGAGAGAGGGAGCGCCACACGAGGAGCCUGCGCCCGAUUAGCUAGCUGGUGGAGUAACGGUUCACCAGGGCGACGAUCGGUAGCUGGUCUGAGAGGACGAUCAGCCACACUGGGAUUGAGAACGGCCCAGACUCCUACGGGGGGCAGCAGUGAGGAAUUUUCGUCAAUGGGGCAACCCUGAACGAGCAACGCCGCGUGCAGGAAGAAGGUUUCGGAUCGUAAACUGCUUUUCUCGGGGAAGAGAACGGACGGUACCCGAGGAAUCAGCCCGGCUAACUACGUGCCAGCAGCCGCGGUAA